CUCCGCAGGACUUUUGAAAAGUCAAAAGCUACUUCUAAACAUAUUUGAAUAAUUUUCAGAAAGUGGCUCGUCUAAAUAGAAAAGCUUUUAUAAGAAGCUAGCCUAAUGUUACUUUCUCAAGAAGUUCUUUUUUAAGAUGCAGAAGUAAAAGCAAAAAUCAUGCGGCCCAAAUGAGAAUUUCAACUUGCCAUCUAAAAGUUGUUUAGAACUCAGCGAGACACGCCCCCACGGGCAUGGCGCAAUGGUAAAGCGGGAGGGUUCUAUACGGAGUAUCGAAUGUUCGAAUCCCUGCGAUUGCUGGAAAGCAACAUUUAUGUUAGAAAACAGUUGUCAUGUGAAGGUAAAGUUAUGGUGCGCUUUGUCACCCUUCCAGAGGUCCUGUCCACACGUCGUAAAGGGAGGUCUAUAGGGAGGAGAACCGCUUUUCGAAUGUCCAGCCCAAAUGUGUAUAAGCUGUAAUAGUAUUCGAAUUUACCUGGGUGGCAAACCAGAGGGAAAGGCCGCCACUCUUUAAGAUUAAUCAAGAGAAGCUUGGACACCUGAGUUAUCAAAAAAAAAAAACUGAACGAGACACUGUUAACUAAUGUCAUUGUUACUCAUCAGUUUGUGCUUAACUGAUAAAAUACACAAAUCAAUUAUGGAUUGACAAUAAUUAGCAAUGUUCAGAGUUUACUGUCCAUAAGCUAUCCAAUACCCGACACCCGUGUUCUAUUAGAUAUCCAUG
This 724-nucleotide long non-coding RNA is filed under the name Olea europaea subsp. europaea. The record is from RNAcentral. Lineage: Eukaryota; Viridiplantae; Streptophyta; Magnoliopsida; Lamiales; Oleaceae.